AAACUGACUUAUGCUCGUCAUUUUUAAAGCAGCAAGCAUUUUAAAGAAAUUUUCAAUAAUAUAGACCUUCAUACAUUUAUAAUGAGUUACAUCUAACAAUGUACAAAAGCUUGGUUUUGGUAGCGACUUCGAUAGGAACAGAUAAGUAUAGGUUUUGGCUGCUUUAUUGAAAAUUAUGAAGAAAUUCAAAAAAUCUAUUAGAUCAAAUUAAGAAAAGUAAAACAAUAAAGAAAUAUUUUCAUCAUGAAAAAUAAAUUGGAUUAUUAGAUUUUGCACUAUAUUGUUUUGGAUUAUUAAAUGUAUCGUUUUGGUAAUUUUGCAGUUAGCAAUUGAAAAAUUGUUUUUUGAAAAUAAAAUGUUCGAAAUAUCAUGUUUAUAGUGUAUUAUAUACUUUACAAUUUAAGACAUGAUAAUAGUGAUGCCUACAAAAUCUGAUCUUUAAGAUAACCAGACCUAUGCCAAAAAAAAACCCUUCCCUCAUAAUCUCUUUGGAGUCUUGCAUUUCGGUGCUUCUAAAUCUUCUCAAAACUUGCAAAGGCUGUGUCUAGUCUGAAGAAAAUGCUGUGGCAUUUAUGGAAAUGAAGAUACACUAUAAAUUGGAACAAGACACCUAUAUGUACGUUAAAGUUUGGGCCAUAAGUUCGACUUGUUCAAAACUUUAAAGCUAAGCCUAGUUUCAGAUUGGUUGUGGUUGAAAUUGGGAGUUCUGGAUGAGACCUCAAACCAUGCAUAUACAUAGUUGGACAUGGGGUUCCAUGCUUCUUGCUGAAAGGAUUUUUAUGAAACUGAACUUUAUUUUUCAGUGUAAAUUUGUCUUUGAUGGUGUAAGCUGGGCUUGAAGUUUUAAGCAUUAUCAGAUUUUACAACCUACAUGAGUUGCAUAUCAAUUCAUUUUGUAGUUAGACCUGUUACAAAUCAGUUAUCUAUUUCAUUUUACCAACUUUAUUUUAUUUUUUAGUAUUUUUGUUGGGACUUAUCCUAAGCAUUGAAAAAUGAAGUAUUAAACUUAUGAGCAAUGCAAAUUAUGGGAGAGGUUUUUGGAAUAAAAAAGAAGAGACUGGUUACAAAGCACUCAAAUAAGUGAUCAGUAAAGAUCUCGAGGAGCCAAUAUUGGUUUCAUACCAGGCACUAUAUCAAUUGACGAUAAUUUUCCACGUAGACACGUAUGAAGAGAGAGAAAAAAGUGCUCUCCAGUUUUGGUGUAAAUAUAACAUAUUCUCAAACAACUUGAUAUAUAAUUUGAUGGGUAGUAAGGAUAUGGGUGGGUGGUGACGGAUGCAUUGACUACCAAAAAGAUGUAGGUGGGUGUGGUGACAGAUGUGAGAUGUUGUUCUAGUGGAAAAGAAGCAAUCUCUUCUAUCAAUUGCUUGAUGCCUAUGGAUAUGGGUCAAAAACUUAAUUAAGUUAACUUCCUUUAAUAACUGGAUGGCCCAUUCACCUCAGAAAAAAAGGGACUAAAUAAGGGAUCCUGCUGUAAUUGUGAUAGGUAGUUCUUCCUGGUUCUUGAGGUGUAUAUUGGAUGCUUUUAUCAUGAAAAUCUUAACUAUCUAAACUUGUUUGGAAAAUUGACAUGUCAUUAAACCUGAUAAUUGAUUUUUAUGAAAAACAACUACCUCCCUUUUUUUUUCGUAAAAUCUGUUUCACACAUAACCAGGUCCUGUGGAUAUCUGUUUUUAUAAGACCCACAGAGAAUUAAACAGCCUUUGGACAAUGGUUGUCUUAAGG
RNAcentral lists this long non-coding RNA (1725 nucleotides) under Phoenix dactylifera (date palm). RNAcentral describes it as "long non-coding RNA (PDAC_LNC014018)". The record is from RNAcentral. Lineage: Eukaryota; Viridiplantae; Streptophyta; Magnoliopsida; Arecales; Arecaceae.